Molecule: ribosomal RNA, 450 nt
Filed under: uncultured bacterium
Lineage: Bacteria
Description: partial 16S ribosomal RNA
Rfam family: Bacterial small subunit ribosomal RNA
Source: RNAcentral
GUGGGGAAUAUUCCGCAAUGGACGAAAGUCUGACGGAGCAACGCCGCGUGAGUGAUGAAGGUUUUCGGACUGUAAAGCUCUGUUGUUUAGGACGAAAGUGCCUGUUGCGAAUAGUUACAGGUAUUGACGGUACUGAACGAGGAAGCCACGGCUAACUACGUGCCAGCAGCCGCGGUAAUACGUAGGUGGCAAGCGUUGUCCGGAAUUAUUGGGCGUAAAGAGCAUGUAGGCGGGAAUCUAAGUCUGUUGUGAAAAUGCGGGGCUCAACCCCGUAUUGCGAUGGAAACUGGGUUUCUUGAGUGCAGGAGAGGAAAGGGGAAUUCCCAGUGUAGCGGUGAAAUGCGUAGAUAUUGGGAGGAACACCAGUGGCGAAGGCGACUUUCUGGACUGUAACUGACACUGAGGCACGAAAGCGUGGGUAGCAAACAGGAUUAGAAACCCUGGUAGUCC